GAUGAAGAACGUAGCGAAAUGCGAUACGUAAUGUGAAUUGCAGAAUUCAGUGAAUCAUCGAAUCUUUGAACGCAUAUUGCGCUCUCUGGUAUUCCGGAGAGCAUGCUUGUUUGAGUAUCAGUAAACACCUCAACUCCCCUUUCUUUUUUGAAAUGGGAGCUGGACUUGAGUGAUCCCAACGCUUUUCUCACCGAAAAGUGGCGGGUUACUUGAAAUGCAGGUGCAGCUGGACUUUUCUCUGAGCUAAAAGCAUAUCUAUUUAGUCUGCCUAAAAAACAGAUUAUUACCUUUGCUGCAGCUAACAUAAAGGAGAUUAGUUCUUGUGCUGACUGAUGCAGGAUUCACAGAGACAGCUUCGGCUGGCCUUUGUAAACUCGAUCUCAAAUCAAGUAAGACUACCCGCUGAACUUAAGCAUAUCAAAAGCGGAGGA
RNAcentral lists this unclassified non-coding RNA (431 nucleotides) under soil metagenome. RNAcentral's name for it is "partial contains 5.8S ribosomal RNA, internal transcribed spacer 2, and large subunit ribosomal RNA". The stretch from base 1 to 120 matches the Rfam family "5.8S ribosomal RNA", at positions 35 to 154 of the family's 154-position model. The record is from RNAcentral.